This 228-nucleotide ribosomal RNA is filed under the name uncultured bacterium. RNAcentral's name for it is "partial 16S ribosomal RNA". It matches the Rfam family "Bacterial small subunit ribosomal RNA", at positions 568 to 796 of the family's 1533-position model. The record is from RNAcentral.
UCCGUAGGCGGGCAAUUAAGUCAGAGGUGAAAUCCCACAGCUCAACUGUGGAACUGCCUUUGAUACUGGUUGUCUUGAGUUACAGUGAAGUAGAUAGAAUAUGUAGUGUAGCGGUGAAAUGCAUAGAUAUUACAUAGAAUACCGAUUGCGAAGGCAGUCUACUAACUGUAUACUGACGCUAAUGGACGAAAGCGUGGGGAGCGAACAGGAUUAGAUACCUGGUAGUCC